Molecule: ribosomal RNA, 305 nt
Filed under: uncultured bacterium
Lineage: Bacteria
Description: bacterial SSU rRNA
Rfam family: Bacterial small subunit ribosomal RNA
Source: RNAcentral
CCUACGGGGGGCAGCAGUAGGGAAUUUUCCGCAAUGAGCGAAAGCUUGACGGAGCGACACAGCGUGCAGGAUGAAGGUCUUCGGAUUGUAAACUGCUGUUGUAAGGGAAGAAAAAAUUUAAUAGGAAAUGAUUAAAUCUUGACGGUACCUUAUUAGAAAGUGACGGCUAACUAUGUGCCAGCAGCCGCGGUAAUACAUAGGUCACAAGCGUUAUCCGGAAUUAUUGGGCGUAAAGAGUUUGUAGGCGGUUUAUCAAGUCUAGAGUUAAAGCCUGAGGCUCAACCUCAGUCCGCUUUGGAUACUGG